GAUGAAGAACGUAGCGAAAUGCGACAAGUAAUGUGAAUUGCAGAAUUCAGUGAAUCAUCGAAUCUUUGAACGCACAUUGCGCCCCCUGGUAUUCCGGGGGGCAUGCCUGUCCGAGCGUCAUUACAACCCUCAAGCUCAGCUUGGUGUUGGGCCCCGCCGCCCCGGCGGGCCCUAAAGUCAGUGGCGGUGCCGUCCGGCUCCGAGCGUAGUAAUUCUUCUCGCUCUGGAGGUCCGGUCGUGUGCUCGCCAGCAACCCCCAAUUUUUUUCAGGUUGACCUCGGAUCAGGUAGGGAUACCCGCUGAACUUAAGCAUAUCAAUAAGCGGAGGA
Molecule: unclassified non-coding RNA, 329 nt
Filed under: soil metagenome
Description: partial contains 5.8S ribosomal RNA, internal transcribed spacer 2, and large subunit ribosomal RNA
Rfam family: 5.8S ribosomal RNA (bases 1-120)
Source: RNAcentral